Molecule: ribosomal RNA, 891 nt
Filed under: Cordyceps tenuipes
Lineage: Eukaryota; Fungi; Ascomycota; Sordariomycetes; Hypocreales; Cordycipitaceae
Description: partial large subunit ribosomal RNA
Rfam family: Eukaryotic large subunit ribosomal RNA
Source: RNAcentral
AGCAUAUCAAUAAGCGGAGGAAAAGACACCAACAGGGAUUGCCCCAGUAACGGCGAGUGAAGCGGCAACAGCUCAAAUUUGAAAUCUGGCCCCCGGGUCCGAGUUGUAAUUUGCAGAGGAUGCUUCGGGCGAGGUGCCUUCCGAGUUCCCUGGAACGGGACGCCACAGAGGGUGAGAGCCCCGUCUGGUCGGACACCGAGCCCGUGUGAAGCUCCUUCGAAGAGUCGAGUAGUUUGGGAAUGCUGCUCAAAAUGGGAGGUAUAUGUCUUCUAAAGCUAAAUAUUGGCCAGAGACCGAUAGCGCACAAGUAGAGUGAUCGAAAGAUGAAAAGCACUUUGAAAAGAGGGUUAAAAAGUACGUGAAAUUGUUGAAAGGGAAGCGCCCAUGACCAGACUUGGGCCCGGUGAAUCACCCGGCGUUCUCGCCGGUGCACUUUGCCGGGCACAGGCCAGCAUCAGUUUGGCGCGGGGGACAAAGGCUUCGGGAACGUGGCUCCCUCGGGAGUGUUAUAGCCCGCUGCGUAAUACCCUGCGCCGGACUGAGGUACGCGCAUCGCAAGGAUGCUGGCGUAAUGGUCAUCAGCGACCCGUCUUGAAACACGGACCAAGGAGUCGUCUUCGUAUGCGAGUGUUCGGGUGUCAAACCCCUACGCGGAAUGAAAGUGAACGCAGGUGAGAGCUUCGGCGCAUCAUCGACCGAUCCUGAUGUUCUCGGAUGGAUUUGAGUAAGAGCAUACGGGGCCGGACCCGAAAGAAGGUGAACUAUGCCUGUAUAGGGUGAAGCCAGAGGAAACUCUGGUGGAAGCUCGCAGCGGUUCUGACGUGCGAAUCGAUCGUCAAAUAUGGGCAUGGGGGCGAAAGACUAAUCGAACCUUCUAGUAUCUGGUUUCCG